UUUCCGUAGGUGAACCUGCGGAAGGAUCAUUAGAGAUGGCCGUGGUGGCCCUAAAGACCCGCGUCCUCGGACGUGAACCCAACCCAACCAAACGUGAACCGUCGGCCUCGGCCGUCAAAACUUUUACACACCUUCCAGGCCAGAACGUGAGAAACAUAACAGUUAAUACAACUGUCAGCAACGGAUCUCUUGGCUCUCGCAUCGAUGAAGAACGCAGC
RNAcentral lists this unclassified non-coding RNA (218 nucleotides) under uncultured fungus. RNAcentral's name for it is "sequence contains ITS1, 5.8S rRNA gene". The stretch from base 170 to 218 matches the Rfam family "5.8S ribosomal RNA", at positions 1 to 49 of the family's 154-position model. Lineage: Eukaryota; Fungi. The record is from RNAcentral.